RNAcentral lists this ribosomal RNA (440 nucleotides) under uncultured bacterium. RNAcentral describes it as "partial 16S ribosomal RNA". It matches the Rfam family "Bacterial small subunit ribosomal RNA", at positions 338 to 795 of the family's 1533-position model. The record is from RNAcentral.
CCUACGGGAGGCAGCAGUGGGGAAUAUUGCACAAUGGAGGGAACUCUGAUGCAGCGACGCCGCGUGAGUGAAGAAGUAAUUCGUUAUGUAAAGCUCUAUCAGCAGGGAAGAAAGUGACGGUACCUGAAAAAGAAGCUCCGGCUAAAUACGUGCCAGCAGCCGCGGUAAUACGUAUGGAGCAAGCGUUAUCCGGAUUUACUGGGUGUAAAGGGAGCGUUGACGGCUGUGCAAGUCUGAAGUGAAAGCCCGUGGCUCAACCGCGGAACUGCUUUGGAAACUGUAUAGCUUGAGUACUGGAGAGGCAGGCGGAAUUCCUAGUGUAGCGGUGAAAUGCGUAGAUAUUAGGAGGAACACCAGGGGCGAAGGCGGCCUACUGGACAGGAACUGACGUUGAGGCUCGAAAGCGUGGGGAGCAAACAGGAUUAGAUACCCUGGUAGUC